This 275-nucleotide ribosomal RNA is filed under the name Muribaculaceae bacterium. RNAcentral's name for it is "partial 23S ribosomal RNA". It matches the Rfam family "Bacterial large subunit ribosomal RNA", at positions 2637 to 2925 of the family's 2925-position model. The record is from RNAcentral. Lineage: Bacteria; Pseudomonadati; Bacteroidota; Bacteroidia; Bacteroidales; Muribaculaceae.
UCUAUCUGUUGUGGGCGUUGAGAUUUGAGGAGAACCGGCACUAGUACGAGAGGACCGUGCUGGACAGACCUCCGGUGUACCGGUUGUACCGUCAGGUGCACCGCCGGGUAGCCGCGUCUGGGCAGGAUAAGUGCUGAAAGCAUCUAAGCACGAAGCCGGCUCCAAGAUAAGAUCUCACUAAGGGCCGUUGAAGACGACGACGUAGAUAGGCUGCAGGUGUAAGCGUGGUGACGCGCUCAGCCGAGCGGUACUAAUUGCCCGAAGUUCCGGAGAAA